This is a transfer RNA of Glarea lozoyensis 74030, 122 nucleotides long. It matches the Rfam family "tRNA". From Rfam's summary of the family: Transfer RNA (tRNA) molecules are approximately 80 nucleotides in length. Their secondary structure includes four short double-helical elements and three loops (D, anti-codon, and T loops). The record is from Rfam. Lineage: Eukaryota; Fungi; Ascomycota; Leotiomycetes; Helotiales; Helotiaceae.
GCUCGGCUGGCGCAAUGGUAGCGCGCGAGACUUCUAAUCUCGAGGCUGUGGGGUAAGUUUAGAUAUCCGUCCCUGAAUUUACAAUGACUAAUAAGUGUGCAGUUCGAGCCCCACGUCGAGUG